Molecule: transfer RNA, 74 nt
Filed under: Exilibacterium tricleocarpae
Lineage: Bacteria; Pseudomonadati; Pseudomonadota; Gammaproteobacteria; Cellvibrionales; Cellvibrionaceae
Description: Cellvibrionaceae bacterium R142 tRNA-Gly
Rfam family: tRNA
About the family: Transfer RNA (tRNA) molecules are approximately 80 nucleotides in length.
Source: RNAcentral
GCGGCAUUGACCGAAUGGUGAGGUACCUGUCUUCCAAGCAGAGGAACAGGGUUCGAUUCCCUGAUGCCGCUCCA